This 253-nucleotide ribosomal RNA is filed under the name uncultured bacterium. Its description in RNAcentral is "partial 16S ribosomal RNA". It matches the Rfam family "Bacterial small subunit ribosomal RNA", at positions 524 to 776 of the family's 1533-position model. The record is from RNAcentral.
UACGUAGGGUGCAAGCGUUGUCCGGAAUUAUUGGGCGUAAAGAGCUCGUAGGCGGUUUGUCGCGUCGAAUGUGAAAACCCGGGGCUCAACCCCGGGCCUGCAUUCGAUACGGGCAGACUAGAGUUCGGUAGGGGAGUCUGGAAUUCCUGGUGUAGCGGUGAAAUGCGCAGAUAUCAGGAGGAACACCGGUGGCGAAGGCGGUGCUCUGGGCCAGUACUGACGCUGAGGAGCGAAAGCGUGGGUAGCAAACAGG